This 675-nucleotide ribosomal RNA is filed under the name Sarcocystis gracilis. Its description in RNAcentral is "SSU rRNA". It matches the Rfam family "Eukaryotic small subunit ribosomal RNA", at positions 455 to 1077 of the family's 1831-position model. Lineage: Eukaryota; Apicomplexa; Conoidasida; Eucoccidiorida; Sarcocystidae. The record is from RNAcentral.
CUCAGGGAGGUAGUGACAAGAAAUAACAACACUGGAAAUUUUAUUUCUAGUGAUUGGAAUGAUGGGAAUUUAAACCCCUUUCAGAGUAACAAUUGGAGGGCAAGUCUGGUGCCAGCAGCCGCGGUAAUUCCAGCUCCAAUAGCGUAUAUUAAAGUUGUUGCAGUUAAAAAGCUCGUAGUUGGGUGUCUGCUGGAAGCAAUCAGUCCGCCCUAUUUGUGGGGUGUGCACUUGAUGAAUUCCGGCAUUUUUGUCCCAAUAUUAUGAUGUAGAAUGUGGGACACAGAGUGUUAUUGGGCGAAAGUUCAAUAGCAUGUCUGUGUUCCGAUUCUUAUUAUAUUGGGAUACUGUUACUUUGAGAAAAUUAGAGUGUUUGAAGCAGGCUUUGAAUUGCCUUGAAUACUGCAGCAUGGAAUAACAAUAUAGGAUUUCGGUUCUAUUUUGUUGGUUUCUAGGACUGAAAUAAUGAUUAAUAGGGACAGUUGGGGGCAUUCGUAUUUAACUGUCAGAGGUGAAAUUCUUAGAUUUGUUAAAGACGAACUACUGCGAAAGCAUUUGCCAAAGAUGUUUUCAUUAAUCAAGAACGAAAGUUAGGGGCUCGAAGACGAUCAGAUACCGUCGUAGUCUUAACCAUAAACUAUGCCGACUAGAGAUAGGAAAAUGUCAUUUUGCUGACUU